Molecule: long non-coding RNA, 243 nt
Organism: Capsella rubella
Lineage: Eukaryota; Viridiplantae; Streptophyta; Magnoliopsida; Brassicales; Brassicaceae
Exons: 3
Source: RefSeq, a predicted model, not a curated record
UGGAAGACGUUAUUCUUAGCCAAACAAAUCGCACUCUGCGAAUCACAGAAGAUUUCAACACCUUUUUGAGGAAAUCCCAAUUCACUUCCCUGAGCGCCAGCUGAUUGUGUUUUCUCCUGCUUGAAACACAAAACCUGUGAUAGAUCGACUCCUAUCAAGGAGAUCCCAUAAAGCGACUGACCAUACCAACUGCAUAAGCAAGAUCAGGGCGAGAUCCCACCAUUGCGUACAUUAGACUCCCAA